RNAcentral lists this ribosomal RNA (674 nucleotides) under uncultured spirochete. Its description in RNAcentral is "bacterial SSU rRNA". It matches the Rfam family "Bacterial small subunit ribosomal RNA", at positions 68 to 731 of the family's 1533-position model. The record is from RNAcentral. Lineage: Bacteria; Pseudomonadati; Spirochaetota; Spirochaetia; Spirochaetales.
GCANGGCGGGGCGACCCGCCCUAGAGCGGCGGACUGGUGAGUAACGCGUGGGUAAUCUACCUUGGGCAUGGGGAUAGCCAUUAGAAAUAGUGGGUAAUACCGAAUACGCUCGCGGGGGGAAGGGUCCUGUGAGGAAAGGGUGCUACGGCACCGGCCUGAGAUGAGCUCGCGUCCCAUUAGCUAGUUGGUGAGGUAAGGGCCCACCAAGGCGAUGAUGGGUAGCCGGCCUGAGAGGGUGUACGGCCACACUGGGACUGAGAUACGGCCCAGACUCCUACGGGAGGCAGCAGCUAANAAUAUUCCGCAAUGGACGAAAGUCUGACGGAGCGACNCCGCGUGGAUGAAGAAGGCCGAAAGGUUGUAAAGUUCUUUUGCGAGGGAAGAAUAACCGCAGGAGGGAAUGCCUGUGGGAUGACAUGAACUUGCGAAUAAGCCCCGGCCAACUACGUGCCAGCAGCCGCGGUAACACGUAGGGGGCGAGCGUUGUUCGGAAUUACUGGGCGUAAAGGGCAUGUAGGCGGUCUGGUAAGCCUGGCGUGAAAGACCACAGCUUAACUGUGGGGUUGCGUUGGGAACUGCUGGGCUUGAGUGACGGAAAGGGAGCUGGAAUUCCUGGUGUAGGGGUGAAAUCUGUANAUAUCAGGAANAACACCGAUGGCGAANGCAACCUCCUG